AACGCGAAGAACCUUACCCAGGCUUGACAUGCAGAGGACAUUUCCUAGAAAUAGGGAACGUCCCGCCAAGGGUCGUCUGCACAGGUGCUGCAUGGCUGUCGUCAGCUCGUGCCGUGAGGUGUUGGGUUAAGUCCCGCAACGAGCGCAACCCUUAUCAUUAGUUGCCAACACGUGAAGGUGGGAACUCUAAUGAGACUGCCCGGGUUAACCGGGAGGAAGGUGAGGAUGACGUCAAGUCCGCAUGGCCCUUAUGUCUGGGGCUACACACGUGCUACAAUGGACGGUACAGAAGGCAGCGAAACCGCGAGGUGAAGCAAAUCCCGAAAGCCGUCCUCAGUUCAGAUUGUAGUCUGCAACUCGACUACAUGAAGACGGAAUUGCUAGUAAUGGUGAGUCAGCAACAUCACCGUGAAUACGUUCCCGGGCCUUGUACACACCGACGCAC
Molecule: ribosomal RNA, 445 nt
Filed under: uncultured bacterium
Lineage: Bacteria
Description: bacterial SSU rRNA
Rfam family: Bacterial small subunit ribosomal RNA
Source: RNAcentral